AACUUGUUCUCUUGACGUGAGUGGCGCACGGGUGAGUAACACGUGGGAAACCUACCCUUCAGCGGGGGAUAACCAUCGGAAACGAUGACUAAUACCGCAUAGACGACAGAACCGCCUGGUUCAAUCGGGAAAGACGGCUUCGGCUGUCACUGAAGGAUGGUCCCGCGCUGCAUUAGCUAGUUGGUAAGGUAACGGCUUACCAAGGCGAUGAUGCAUAGCCGACCUGAGAGGGUGAUCGGCCACAUUGGGACUGAGACACGGCCCAAACUCCUACGGGAGGCAGCAGUAGGGAAUCUUCCGCAAUGGACGCAAGUCUGACGGAGCAACGCCGCGUGUGUGAAGAAGGUUUUCGGAUCGUAAAGCACUGUUAUUAGAGAAGAACAGCCGAUAGAGUAACUGUUAUCGGUUUGACGGUAUCUAACCAGAAAGUGACGGCUAACUACGUGCCAGCAGCCGCGGUAAUACGUAGGUCACAAGCGUUGUCCGGAUUUAUUGGGCGUAAAGGGAGCGCAGGCGGUUUGUUAAGUCUGAUGUGAAAGCCCACGGCUCAACCGUGGAACGGCAUUGGAAACUGGCAAACUUGAGUAUAGAAGAGGAAAGUGGAAUUCCAUGUGUAGCGGUGAAAUGCGUAGAUAUAUGGAGGAACACCAGUGGCGAAGGCGACUUUCUGGUCUAUAACUGACGCUGAGGCUCGAAAGCGUGGGGAGCGAA
This 711-nucleotide ribosomal RNA is filed under the name uncultured bacterium. Its description in RNAcentral is "bacterial SSU rRNA". It matches the Rfam family "Bacterial small subunit ribosomal RNA", at positions 77 to 772 of the family's 1533-position model. The record is from RNAcentral.